CGAACGCUGGCGGUGUGCUUAAUGCAUGCAAGUCGAACGAGAACUUCACAGUGAGUAAUCACAGUGGGGUAUCUAGUGGCGAACGGGUGAGUAUCACGUGAGAAACCUGCCCCGGAGAUCGGGAUAGCCCAGGGAAACCUGGAUUAAUACCGAAUAUCCUCCAACUGUCGCAUGGCGGAUGGAGGAAAUGGUCCGCUGCUCCGGGAUGGUCUCGCGACCUAUCAGCUUGUUGGUGAGGUAACGGCUCACCAAGGCAACGACGGGUAGCUGGUCUGAGAGGACGAUCAGCCACACUGGGACUGAGACACGGCCCAGACUCCUACGGGAGGCAGCAGCAGGGAAUAUUGCGCAAUGGGCGAAAGCCUGACGCAGCGACACCGCGUGAGGGAUGAAUGCCUUCGGGUUGUAAACCUCUUUCAGGAGGGAAGAAGCGAAAGUGACGGUACCUCCAGAAGAAGCCCCGGCCAACUAC
This 472-nucleotide ribosomal RNA is filed under the name uncultured bacterium. RNAcentral describes it as "bacterial SSU rRNA". It matches the Rfam family "Bacterial small subunit ribosomal RNA", at positions 30 to 504 of the family's 1533-position model. The record is from RNAcentral.